RNAcentral lists this unclassified non-coding RNA (866 nucleotides) under Athalia rosae (coleseed sawfly). Its description in RNAcentral is "misc RNA ENSAEAG00005002854.1". The record is from RNAcentral. Lineage: Eukaryota; Metazoa; Arthropoda; Insecta; Hymenoptera; Athaliidae.
UUUGCGUUAAAAAAUUUCAUAAAAUUUUCAUACAAGCAACUUCCUCCGGAACAAUGUUACCACAAGCGGACAUCAGGGUAUGUAAAUGAGAAGGGAGCGACAGAUGAAAUUUCAAGGUCGCACUGUUUAGUUUAAUUUUGUUUUAAUUCAUAUCCUCGAUUUUUCAGCUUUCACCACCACUUGUCUUAUUCAAUGUCCUUGCUUCGAUUUAAGAGGGGAAAUAUUGAAAGAUGUGAUAUGAAUACCAGGUAGGAUGGUGAACACAAACAUUGGAAAACUGGGGGAAGUCUUGACUCCAACGUCGAUCAACCUAACCCGGCGUACAUACACGCACGGAUGUGGGGAUGCAUUGUUUAGAAAAUGGGACGGUGCGAAUCGUAGGGGCAGAAAUGGUAGUUAUUCCGGUAUCUCAACGGGUAUAAUACGAGUUGUUCUUGCGUGGUGGACCGAGAAUUGGAUGAAAUCUAUGAAUGGAUACGUAAGACUUCGGUAAGGAUGUUCAGAUGAAUCAUAUGUUCGCUGAUACGUUCUUUUUAAUUUUUUAAUAAUUAUUUUUUACGCCUUAAUUUACCGUAUUGCGCGUGACUCUCGUCCUUUACCUGAAACUUUUGCUGAGAUUAUAGCGAAUUUCGACAAUGUUAAGCGUUAUUCCUUGAAGGUGUUAGCACGAUUUUUAUUGCUCGAUAUUUGUGUGGAUAUGGAAUGUGACGUUUCAUAUGAUCAAACGGCAAUCGGACAUACCGCACGAUUUAUACAUUUAUAUCAAUAUAUUCUUGCCGACUAUCGAAUUAUUUGCACAAAUUACAGUCAUUUUAAAACUAAUGUGAUUAGUUUAAUUUUUACAAGCACUUGCCCAGAAGUUAAGC